Molecule: ribosomal RNA, 200 nt
Filed under: uncultured bacterium
Lineage: Bacteria
Description: partial 16S ribosomal RNA
Rfam family: Bacterial small subunit ribosomal RNA
Source: RNAcentral
AGAGUUUGAUCCUGGCUCAGGACGAACGCUGGCGGCGUGCCUAAUACAUGCAAGUCGAGCGGGGUUUGAGGGAGCUUGCUCCCAAGAACCUAGCGGCGGACGGGUGAGUAACACGUGGGCAACCUGCCUGUAAGAUCGGGAUAACUAUCGGAAACGAUAGCUAAGACCGAAUAACUGGUUUUCUCGCAUGAGAGAAUCAU